ACCGAAUAGAUACCCUGGUAGUCCACGCCCUAAACGAUGCGAACUGGAUGUUGGGUACAUUACGGUACUCAGUGUCGAAAGCUAAACGCGUUAAGUUCGCCGCCUGGGGAGUACGGUCGCAAGACUGAAACUCAAAGGAAUUGACGGGGGCCCGCACAAGCGGUGGAGUAUGUGGUUUAAUUCGAUGCAACGCGAAGAACCUUACCUGGCCUUGACAUCUGUCGAAUCCUGCAGAGAUGCGGGAGUGCCGCAAGGAACGACAAGACAGGUGCUGCAUGGCUGUCGUCAGCUCGUGUCGUGAGAUGUUGGGUUAAGUCCCGCAACGAGCGCAACCCUUGUCCCUAGUUGCCAGCACGUAAUGGUGGGAACUCUAGGGAGACUGCCGGUGACAAACCGGAGGAAGGUGGGGAUGACGUCAAGUCCUCAUGGCCCUUA
RNAcentral lists this ribosomal RNA (435 nucleotides) under uncultured bacterium. Its description in RNAcentral is "bacterial SSU rRNA". It matches the Rfam family "Bacterial small subunit ribosomal RNA", at positions 772 to 1204 of the family's 1533-position model. The record is from RNAcentral.